UACUAGAGUAGCACUCGCAUAUCAAUAAGCGGAGGAAAAGAAACUAACAAGGAUUCCCCUAGUAACGGCGAGUGAAGCGGGAAGAGCUCAAAUUUGAAAUCUUAAAGGGUUUCCCUUUACGAAUUGUAGUUUAAAGAAGUGUUUUCUGUUGAGGUUUUGGUAAAAGUUCUUUGGAAUAGGACAUCAUAGAGGGUGAGAAUCCCGUAUUUGACCUUUACUUUCAACUUUGUGAUACACUUUCAAAGAGUCGGAUUGUUUGGGAAUGCAGUCCAAAAUGGGUGGUAAAUUUCAUCUAAAGCUAAAUAUUGGCGAGAGACCGAUAGCGAACAAGUACCAGUGAGGGAAAGAUGAAAAGAACUUUGAAAAGAGAGUUAAACAGUACGUGAAAUUGUCAAAAGGGAAGCGUUUGACACCAGUGUUGUUUUUCUGAAAAUCAAUUAAAGAACUGUUUAUGCUAAGCUGUUUAGACUUUAUCAGCUAAUCUGUUUAGUUUUGAGCUUUUCUUUAAUGCACUUUUCAGUUAACAAGUCAACAUCAAUUUCUUUUGCUGUAAAAAAGCUUGAGGAAGGUGGCUUGAGAUUCGUCUUAAGUGUUUAUAGCCUCUUGCCUAUGCAGUCGGAGAGAUUGAGGUCUGCAGCGUAGAUCCUUCGGGGCUAAAUGCAUUUGUGCUAAGUUAUAACAUUUUAUAGACAACUUGUUGACUAUGAUUUGUCUUGUAGCUUACUCGCUUAUGUUAUUUUACCUACGCUUAGGAUGUUGAGCGCAUGUCUCUCUCU
Molecule: ribosomal RNA, 776 nt
Filed under: uncultured Neocallimastigales
Lineage: Eukaryota; Fungi; Neocallimastigomycota; Neocallimastigomycetes; Neocallimastigales
Description: partial large subunit ribosomal RNA
Rfam family: Eukaryotic large subunit ribosomal RNA
Source: RNAcentral